This 253-nucleotide ribosomal RNA is filed under the name uncultured bacterium. RNAcentral's name for it is "partial 16S ribosomal RNA". It matches the Rfam family "Bacterial small subunit ribosomal RNA", at positions 524 to 776 of the family's 1533-position model. The record is from RNAcentral.
UACGAAGGGUGCAAGCGUUACUCGGAAUUACUGGGCGUAAAGCGUGCGUAGGUGGUUUGUUAAGUCUGUUGUGAAAGCCCCGGGCUCAACCUGGGAAUGGCAAUGGAUACUGGCAAGUUAGAGUGCGGUAGAGGGUAGUGGAAUUCCCGGUGUAGCGGUGAAAUGCGUAGAGAUCGGGAGGAACACCAGUGGCGAAGGCGGCUACCUGGACCAGCACUGACACUGAGGCACGAAAGCGUGGGGAGCAAACAGG